CGUUGUGUUUUCACUUCAGGACCAUUUAAAUUAAUCAGGGAACCCGUUUAAAGUGCGGGGCGGUUCUGCCGCUGUGAUUCCUCCAUUUCAUGGAUCAGGAAAAGCCAGCAACCCUGCCUGAAGCAUAUCUGCACA
RNAcentral lists this non-coding RNA (135 nucleotides) under Maridesulfovibrio salexigens. Lineage: Bacteria; Pseudomonadati; Thermodesulfobacteriota; Desulfovibrionia; Desulfovibrionales; Desulfovibrionaceae. RNAcentral also lists the same sequence under 1 other name. The record is from RNAcentral.